GUCUCCUUUCCCCAAUCAGUGAAACUGAUCUCUCCGUGAAGAAGCGGAGAUAGAAUUAUAAGACGAGAAGACCCCAUGGAGCUUUAAACCCAGCAACUACCUCUGUUUAAACACACCCACAGAAGUAACAGAACCCUAUUUGUCUGGUUUUAGGUUGGGGUGACCGCGGAGUAUAAAAUAGCCUCCACGAUGAAUGGGCUAACCCCUUAAUCUAAGAGUCACACCUCUAAGAAUUAGCAAUCUAACAUAAACUGAUCCGACUAUCGAUCAACGAACCAAGUUACCCUGGGGAUAACAGCGCAAUCCACUUUAAGAGCUCCUAUCGACAAGUGGGUUUACGACCUCGAUGUUG
RNAcentral lists this ribosomal RNA (352 nucleotides) under Aglyptodactylus madagascariensis (Madagascar jumping frog). Its description in RNAcentral is "partial 16S ribosomal RNA". It matches the Rfam family "Bacterial large subunit ribosomal RNA", at positions 2018 to 2534 of the family's 2925-position model. Lineage: Eukaryota; Metazoa; Chordata; Amphibia; Anura; Mantellidae. The record is from RNAcentral.